CCUACGGGUGGCAGCAGUGGGGAAUAUUGCACAAUGGGGGAAACCCUGAUGCAGCGACGCCGCGUGAGUGAAGAAGUAAUUCGUUAUGUAAAGCUCUAUCAGCAGGGAAGAAACUGACGGUACUUGCUUAAGAAGCAGCGGCUAACUACGUCCAAGCAGCCGCGGUAAUACGUAGGGGGCAAGCGUUAUCCGGAUUUACUGGGUGUUAAGGGAGCGUAGACGGCAGUGCAAGUCUGGAGUGAAAGGCGCGGGCUCAACCCCCGGACUGCUUUUGAAACUGUACGGCUGGAGUGCAGGAGAGGUAAGUGGAAUUCCUAGUGUAGCGGUGAAAUGCGUAGAUAUUAGGAGGAACACCAGUGGCGAAGGCGGCUUACUGGACUGUAACUGACGUUGAGGCGCGAAAGCGUGGGGAGCAAACAGGAUUAGAUACCCGGGUAGUC
Molecule: ribosomal RNA, 440 nt
Filed under: uncultured bacterium
Lineage: Bacteria
Description: partial 16S ribosomal RNA
Rfam family: Bacterial small subunit ribosomal RNA
Source: RNAcentral